RNAcentral lists this ribosomal RNA (253 nucleotides) under uncultured bacterium. RNAcentral's name for it is "partial 16S ribosomal RNA". It matches the Rfam family "Bacterial small subunit ribosomal RNA", at positions 524 to 776 of the family's 1533-position model. The record is from RNAcentral.
UACGUAGGGGGCAAGCGUUGUCCGGAAUUACUGGGCGUAAAGCGUGCGCAGGCGGCUUCUCAAGUCAGGGGUGAAAGCCCAGAGCUCAACUCUGGAAUUGCCUUUGAGACUGAGUGGCUUGAGUACGAGAGAGGUGAGUGGAAUUCCCAGUGUAGAGGUGAAAUUCGUAGAUAUUCGGAAGAACACCGGUGGCGAAGGCGGCCCGCUGGGCUGUUGCUGACGCUGAGGCGCGACAGCGUGGGGAGCAAACAGG